CCUGGCUCAGGACGAACGCUGGCGGCACGCUUAACACAUGCAAGUCGAACGAGAGAAGAGAAGCUUGCUUUUCUGAUCUAGUGGCGGACGGGUGAGUAACACGUGAGCAAUCUGCCUUUCAGAGGGGGAUACCGAUUGGAAACGAUCGUUAAUACCGCAUAACAUAAUUGAACCGCAUGAUUUGAUUAUCAAAGAUUUAUCGCUGAAAGAUGAGCUCGCGUCUGAUUAGCUAGUUGGUAAGGUAACGGCUUACCAAGGCGACGAUCAGUAGCCGGACUGAGAGGUUGAUCGGCCACAUUGGGACUGAGACACGGCCCAGACUCCUACGGGAGGCAGCAGUGGGGAAUAUUGCACAAUGGAGGAAACUCUGAUGCAGCGAUGCCGCGUGAGGGAAGAAGGUUUUAGGAUUGUAAACCUCUGUCUUCAGGGACGAAAAAAGACGGUACCUGAGGAGGAAGCUCCGGCUAACUACGUGCCAGCAGCCGCGGUAAUACGUAGGGAGCGAGCGUUGUCCGGAAUUACUGGGUGUAAAGGGAGCGUAGGCGGGAUCGCAAGUCAGAUGUGAAAACUAUGGGCUUAACCCAUAAACUGCAUUUGAAACUGUGGUUCUUGAGUGAAGUAGAGGUAAGCGGAAUUCCUAGUGUAGCGGUGAAAUGCGUAGAUAUUAGGAGGAACAUCAGUGGCGAAGGCGGCUUACUGGGCUUUAACUGACGCUGAGGCUCGAAAGCGUGGGGAGCAAACAGGAUUAGAUACCCUGGUAGUCCACGCCGUAAACGAUGAUUACUAGGUGUGGGGGGACUGACCCCUUCCGUGCCGCAGCAAACGCAAUAAGUAAUCCACCUGGGGAGUACGACCGCAAGGUUGAAACUCAAAGGAAUUGACGGGGGCCCGCACAAGCAGUGGAGUAUGUGGAUUAAUUCGAAGCAACGCGAAGAACCUUACCAGGUCUUGACAUCGUAUGCAUAGCUCAGAGAUGAGUGAAAUCUCUUCGGAGACAUAUAGACAGGUGGUGCAUGGUUGUCGUCAGCUCGUGUCGUGAGAUGUUGGGUUAAGUCCCGCAACGAGCGCAACCCUUACUGUUAGUUGCUACGCAAGAGCACUCUAGCAGGACUGCCGUUGACAAAACGGAGGAAGGUGGGGAUGACGUCAAAUCAUCAUGCCCCUUAUGACCUGGGCCUCACACGUACUACAAUGGCUGUCAACAGAGGGAAGCAAAGCCGCGAGGUGGAGCGAACCCCUAAAAGCAGUCUUAGUUCGGAUUGUAGGCUGCAACCCGCCUACAUGAAGUCGGAAUUGCUAGUAAUCGCAGAUCAGCAUGCUGCGGUGAAUACGUUCCCGGGCCUUGCACACACCGCCCG
RNAcentral lists this ribosomal RNA (1358 nucleotides) under uncultured bacterium. RNAcentral's name for it is "bacterial SSU rRNA". It matches the Rfam family "Bacterial small subunit ribosomal RNA", at positions 18 to 1396 of the family's 1533-position model. The record is from RNAcentral.